UUANAUAUCAAUAAGCGGAGGAAAAGAAACCAACAGGGAUUGCCCUAGUAACGGCGAGUGAAGCGGCAUCAGCUCAAAUUUGAAAUCUGGCUCUUUCAGAGUCCGAGUUGUAAUUUGCAGAGGGCGCUUUGGCGUUGGCAGCGGUCCAAGUUCCUUGGAACAGGACGUCACAGAGGGUGAGAAUCCCGUACGUGGUCGCUGGCCUUCACCGUGUAAAGCCCCUUCGACGAGUCGAGUUGUUUGGGAAUGCAGCUCUAAAUGGGAGGUAAAUUUCUUCUAAAGCUAAAUACUGGCCAGAGACCGAUAGCGCACAAGUAGAGUGAUCGAAAGAUGAAAAGCACUUUGGAAAGAGAGUCAAAUAGCACGUGAAAUUGUUGAAAGGGAAGCGCUUGCAGCCAGACUUGCCUGUAGUUGCUCAUCCGGGCUUUUGCCCGGUGCACUCUUCUGCGGGCAGGCCAGCAUCAGUUUGGGCGGUUGGAUAAAGGCCUCUGUCAUGUACCUCCUUUCGGGGAGGCCUUAUAGGGGAGGCGACAUGCAACCAGCCUGGACUGAGGUCCGCGCAUCUGCUAGGAUGCUGGCGUAAUGGCUGUAAGCGGCCCGUCUUGAAACACGGACCAAGGAGUCUAACAUCUAUGCGAGUGUUUGGGUGUCAAGCCCGAGCGCGCAAUGAAAGUGAACGGAGGUGGGAUCCCUUAAGGGUGCACCAUCGACCGAUCCUGAUGUCUUCGGAUGGAUUUGAGUAAGAGCAUGGCUGUUGGGACCCGAAAGAUGGUGAACUAUGCUUGAAUAGGGUGAAGCCAGAGGAAACUCUGGUGGAGGCUCGCAGCGGUUCUGACU
Molecule: ribosomal RNA, 837 nt
Filed under: Neopyrenochaeta sp.
Lineage: Eukaryota; Fungi; Ascomycota; Dothideomycetes; Pleosporales; Neopyrenochaetaceae
Description: partial large subunit ribosomal RNA
Rfam family: Eukaryotic large subunit ribosomal RNA
Source: RNAcentral